RNAcentral lists this long non-coding RNA (363 nucleotides) under Homo sapiens (human). RNAcentral's name for it is "non-protein coding lnc-REG3G-6:1". The stretch from base 63 to 363 matches the Rfam family "Eukaryotic large subunit ribosomal RNA", at positions 2392 to 2584 of the family's 3401-position model. The record is from RNAcentral. Lineage: Eukaryota; Metazoa; Chordata; Mammalia; Primates; Hominidae.
AUUCUGGAGAAGAGCAAGACCAUAUUGAACAUUGCUGCCAGAAUAAAAAUACAUAUCCUCGGAAUCAGCGGGGAAAGAAGACCCUGUUGAGCUUGAGCUUGACUCUAGUCUGGCACGGUGAAGAGACGUGAGAGGUGUAGAAUAAGUGGGAGGCCCCCGGCGCCCCACUGUCCCCGGGAGGGGGCGGGGCGGGGUCUGCCCGCCUUGAGGGCUGCCGGUGUAAUACCACUACUCUGAUCGUUUUUUUUUCACUGACCUGGUGAGGCCGGGGGGGCGGGGGGCGAGCCCCGAGGGGCUCUAGCUUCUGGUGCCAAGCGCCUGGCCACGCGCAGCAUUCUUAUACACCAACAACAGACAAACAGA